GACGAACGCUGGCGGCGUGCUUAACACAUGCAAGUCGAACGGUGAACCUCUUCGGAGGGGCUCAGUGGCGAACGGGUGAGUAACACGUGGGCAACCUGCCCCCGGCUCUGGGAUAACUCCAAGAAAUUGGGGCUAAUACCGGAUGUUCACCGCUUCCCGCAUGGGUGGUGGUGGAAAGGGUUUCCGGCUGGGGAUGGGCCCGCGGCCUAUCAGCUGGUUGGUGGGGUAGUGGCCUACCAAGGCGACGACGGCUAGCCGGCCUGAGAGGGGGACCGGCCACACUGUAACUGAGACGCGGUCCAGAGGCCUACGGGAGGCAGCGGCGGGGAAGCGGCCGCGAGGGGCGAAAGCCUGGCGGACCGGCGCCGCGUGAGAGACGAAGGUCGUCGGAUCGUGAAACUGUGUGAUGAGGGAAGAACAAAUGUGGAAGUAACUAUGCCCGCCUUGACGGGACCUAAUCAGAAGACCACGGCUAACUACGUG
RNAcentral lists this ribosomal RNA (483 nucleotides) under uncultured bacterium. RNAcentral's name for it is "partial 16S ribosomal RNA". It matches the Rfam family "Bacterial small subunit ribosomal RNA", at positions 28 to 507 of the family's 1533-position model. The record is from RNAcentral.